AUUGAACGCUGGCGGCAGGCCUAACACAUGCAAGUCGGACGGUAGCACAGAGAGCUUGCUCUUGGGUGACGAGUGGCGGACGGGUGAGUAAUGUCUGGGAUCUGCCCGAUAGAGGGGGAUAACCACUGGAAACGGUGGCUAAUACCGCAUAACGUCGAAAGACCAAAGAGGGGGACCUUCGGGCCUCUCACUAUCGGAUGAACCCAGAUGGGAUUAGCUAGUAGGCGGGGUAAUGGCCCACCUAGGCGACGAUCCCUAGCUGGUCUGAGAGGAUGACCAGCCACACUGGAACUGAGACACGGUCCAGACUCCUACGGGAGGCAGCAGUGGGGAAUAUUGCACAAUGGGCGCAAGCCUGAUGCAGCCAUGCCGCGUGUAUGAAGAAGGCCUUCGGGUUGUAAAGUACUUUCAGCGGGGAGGAAGGCGAUGCGGUUAAUAACCGCGUCGAUUGACGUUACCCGCAGAAGAAGCACCGGCUAACUCCGUGCCAGCCGCCGCAGUAA
This 503-nucleotide ribosomal RNA is filed under the name uncultured bacterium. RNAcentral's name for it is "partial 16S ribosomal RNA". It matches the Rfam family "Bacterial small subunit ribosomal RNA", at positions 29 to 523 of the family's 1533-position model. The record is from RNAcentral.